UUUCUGAGAUUGCAGGGUUUAGGCAGUAGCCUUGAAGGAUACAGAAUUGGAGGAAAGGCAACCUGGUUGAGAUUUAAUUUGAUGUGAAGAGAACUAUAUCUCAGUAUGAGUCUGUCAUGGAGAAAAUAAAUAAUAGUGUUUCUUUGUUACAAAGGAAUGCUAUCUGGGGGUGGGGAAGAAGAAAGGCUCAAUAUUAGUUGUACCAAAAGAGAAAUACAAAGCUGACUCAUUUCACUCUCAGAAAAAAAUCCCUAGGUCGAUUGAUUUGUAACUCCCUCUGCAGUCUCUCAUCUGUCAAGAUUGAAAAAGUGCUACAGUUUUUCAUCUCAGGAGCCAUUAAGUGAAAAGCAAAAAUUAAACAUGAAGUAUUUUGCAAUCCUUCCCCACCAUUUCCCAGUCAAACAGUAUUCUGUAAAAAUGUGGAUUGAUAGCCAAUAGACACAACUAUGAAUUAUUUGCCAGCCAUGUAACUGACACACAGGCAACAAAAAUAAAUAAACCAGGGAGAGGAAGUAGGGGAAAGAAAAACACUCACAUUCCAGCUCAGGACAGAUACAAGGAGGAAACAGACCUGGUUGUGACUGAUCAAUGGGUCCAUGCUUCAGAGGUUCAGGCCAUGGAAAUACCCCCCAGACCACACUUCUGUACUCAUGACUACUGAUGGGACUCAGCUGAAAUCUUUUCCUUCUCAGCUGAAAUCUUUUCCUUUCCCCUAAAUUGCUGAGGCAAUCACAGUAGUAAUUUUUUUUCUUUGUACGCAAAUUAGGUAAAAACAAUGCCUCAAAGCACCCCUUAAGGAGCAUUAUCAUUUCUUCUACCUUCUUUGGCUUAUUAUGGGAUGCUAUAGAAUGUCCUACUACACACACACACACACACACACACACACACACACAUGCAUGCAAAGACCAAAAUCAGACAAAAAUAAAACUCUUUACUAUUUUCUUAUUCUAUUCCCUCUUCUCCCAAGGAAAUAUCUUCACGAUGGAUUUUUUUUUCUUCUUGAAGUAGAAACCCAGGCAUGCUUGCACAUGCACACACACUUUCUCUCUUUCUUUCUUUCUUUCUUUCUUUCUUUCUUUUUCUUUUUUUAGUCUCCCAUUUUAAAGAGUAGACCAUGAGAAGUUACUGAAACGUCAGGCUCUAGCAGUAGACAUGUUAUUCAUUAAAGGUGUGGCCCUAGAAAGUUUUAUAACCCCUACACAAUCCCAAUUUUAUUUAUAAAAUGGAGUUGCUAAGAUUCUUUGAAAAGUUCCUGAUCAUAAAAAUUUAACAAAUGUUGAGUCAUAGUAUUAAGUGGUUUUUAAAUGGAUAGCUUCAUGCACAUCUGUAUUAUUCUUUAAUUGGAUUACUUGAUCAGAAAUAUGUCUUAGAGAGCUUUUCUUGUCAGCACAUAGACUUUUGUCCUAAUCUCGCAUAUAUUAUUCUGUGAUACAUGGGUUCCAUGAUUAAUACAGCCUUCCUCUAUUGCUGGAUAUUUAUUACUCAGUUGCAUUUUGUUUGCUUGUUUGUUUCC
RNAcentral lists this long non-coding RNA (1513 nucleotides) under Mus musculus (house mouse). RNAcentral's name for it is "long non-coding RNA chr10:107398581-107400094". The record is from RNAcentral. Lineage: Eukaryota; Metazoa; Chordata; Mammalia; Rodentia; Muridae.